This 402-nucleotide transfer-messenger RNA is filed under the name Alphaproteobacteria bacterium. It matches the Rfam family "Alphaproteobacteria transfer-messenger RNA". From Rfam's summary of the family: Bacterial tmRNA, also known as 10Sa RNA or SsrA, is named for its dual tRNA and mRNA-like properties. Its role is to liberate the mRNA from a stalled ribosome. To accomplish this part of the tmRNA is used as a reading frame that ends in a translation stop signal. Lineage: Bacteria; Pseudomonadati; Pseudomonadota; Alphaproteobacteria. The record is from RNAcentral.
UUUCUUCACUUUUAAUACUAAAAAUCCUAUAAUCAUUGUGUCGGGUUUUCCCGACUAUGACGCUACACGCGGUUGCGGAAUAAGCGUUCGUGGACCCGGGGGCAGUACCCGGCAGCUCCACCAGUAUUUGCUUUUUAAACGAGGGGUAAAUGCCGGCGGGGCUGAAACAGGAUCGACACGCGUAGUAAAGGCUUCAUGCGGCGUUCGGCUUUCCGCCGUUACCGGAUACUCGUUAUAAAUGCAAACGAUAAUCAUGCAUUUGUAGCAGCCAACGACAACUCUGUUGUUGCUGGUGAAGCGAUUGCCGCUUAAUUGCGAAAAUCGUGCGCUACGCACAUAAUUCCUAAGACUUAAUGCGUUUUAGGUGGGGCCCGGCGGUGCCUAGUAACAGAAACCGCCACU